Oncorhynchus masou masou (cherry salmon) is the source of this 5299-nucleotide RNA transcript. It is a transcript of the gene named potassium voltage-gated channel subfamily KQT member 2-like, with no coding region annotated. The transcript is spliced from 11 exons. The record is from RefSeq and is a predicted model, not a curated record. Lineage: Eukaryota; Metazoa; Chordata; Actinopteri; Salmoniformes; Salmonidae.
GUAUAGGCUACACAUUGCAGAUUCGCAAUCGCAUGGACAUUCCAGAGGGACACCGACUGCAUUUACGAGCACACACAACACUCAGCAGUGAUGCUACCCCACAACGAGAUUGAAAACUCCCGGUUUGAGUCACCUCGACUUUAGAAUGGUGCAGAAAAAUGUUAACGGUGGGGUUUACCCAACUCAAGCCGGAGAGAAGAAGCACAAAGUCGGCUUUGUCGGAUUGGACCCCGGGGCUCCCGAAUCUAGCAGGGACGGGGCGCAGCUGAUUGCGGGCUCGGAAAGCACAAAGCGGACCAGUAUCCUAUGCAGACGGAGGUCCAGUGCCAUAAGAGGUGGGAGAACGCCGAAGAAAAACCCCAGCUAUAGGAAACUACAGAAUUUUCUAUAUAAUGCACUUGAAAGACCGCGGGGAUGGGCGUUUAUUUACCACGCUUAUGUCUUCCUGUUGGUGUUUUCCUGUCUCAUCCUCUCUGUUUUCGCUACCAUCAACGAGUUCAAGAACAGUUCUGAGACUGCCUUGUACAUUCUGGAAAUAGUGACCAUCGUGGUGUUUGGAGUUGAGUACAUUGUGAGGAUAUGGGCGGCGGGCUGCUGCUGUCGCUACAGAGGAUGGAGGGGAAGGCUGAAAUUCGCCCGCAAGCCUUUCUGUGUUAUCGACAUCAUGGUCUUGAUAGCAUCUGUGUCGGUGCUGGCUGCUGGCUCCCAGGGAAAUGUCUUCGCCACCUCUGCCAUCCGCAGUCUCCGCUUCUUGCAGAUCCUCCGCAUGCUGCGGAUGGACCGGCGCGGGGGCACCUGGAAACUUCUAGGAUCAGUGGUCUAUGCCCACAGCAAGGAACUAAUCACUGCUUGGUACAUAGGCUUCCUCUGUCUCAUCCUGGCUAGUUUCCUGGUGUACUCGGUCGAGAAAGAUGACAACGACAUGUUUGAGACCUAUGCUGAUGCCCUGUGGUGGGGGCUGAUCACCCUGACCACCAUAGGCUAUGGGGAUAAGUUCCCAAAGACCUGGAAUGGACGUCUGCUGGCUGCAAUGUUCAGUAUGAUAGGAGUGGCUUUCUUUGCGCUCCCAGCUGGUAUCCUGGGGUCUGGUUUUGCUCUGAAGGUCCAGGAGCAGCACAGACAGAAGCAUUUUGAGAAGCGACGCCAACCUGCUGCUGGUCUGAUACAGAAUGCUUGGCGAUUUUAUGCUACGAAUCUCGCUCGGACUGAUCUGCUGUCGACAUGGGAUUUUUAUGAGGAGAAUGUUUCUCUACCAAUGUACAGACUCAUACCCCCCCUCAAUCAACUGGACCUCCUGAGGAAUCUGAAGGCCAAAUCCUUCAGCAGGAAGGACUCUCAGACAGAAGCCUCCCCCAGGUCUGUUAUUCAACCAGCCUUUGUUGUUUUACCACACACUUCUUCUACCCCCUUUUGGCUUUCAAUUCUGCUCAAAGCUGCUGAGGCACUCUUCUUGAGGGAGAGUGUGUGUGUGUGUGUGUGUGUGUGUGUGUGUGUGUGUGUGUGUGUGUGUGUGUGUGUGUGUGUGUGUGUGUGUGUGUCGGGGCAGAAAGGACUGAGGUUUUGAUGAGUCUUGUUUUUUUACAAUGUGUUUCAGAUAUGAAUGUACCUUUUUGAUAAGAUCCUCCUUCAAGAACAGUGGCCUUACAUUUACCCACAGUGCCCUAGCUCAGGGGUUCCCACACUUUUUUUAUUCAGGCCCCCCUUCCAGCAUUGGGAAACAUCCAUCUAUUUCUAUGCACACAGGCACCGUUCGUGACACGAACUGUUCACACACCUCUAAAUGUGCAGGUUCAAAGCUUAUUUUCCUGUAAUUCUUCAUGUUUUGCCAUGGGGUGCAGAGAAAAUGUUGUAGUUUUGAAGCUAAUUUUCUUGCAGUGUCUAAUGUGUAUUCAUGAGAUAUUUGAAUGAUUCAAACCUUACAACAACAUCUAUGGGCAAAAAAAAACCUAGCGAAAAAAGUUACCUGACUUGGGCUAGUUGAUCUGGACAUUCCUGACAAGUUAUAAGUACAGUCACUUUCUAAGGUAGGCAAUGGCUGACACGAGAAAAGGAUAACUGAUGGUGCACAACCCAAUUUCGAAAUUGUACCUUGUUCAUUCUACUAUUACAAGCUUCAAGAUUAAUUUGAAAGCAGGAUGAGUUCCUUAAAUCAAUCUACCGUACCAGUCAAAAGUUUGGACACCUACUCAUUCAAUGGUUUUUAUUUUAUUUUUACUACAAUGAAAUUAUUACUAUUUUUAAUACAAUGAAAUAACACCCAUGGAAUCAUGUAGUAAUCAAAAGUGUUAAACAAAUAAAUGUUGUUUUUCUUAUAGUUGAGGUUCUUCAGAGUAGCCACCGUUUACCUUGAUGACAGCUUUGAACAUUGUUGGAAUUCUCUCAACCAAGCUUCAUGAGCUUGUCACCUGGAAUGCAUUUCAAUUAACAGGUGUGGCUUGUUAAAAGUUAAUUUGUGGAAUUUCUUUCCUUCUAAAUGUGUUUGAGCCAAUCACUUGCGUUGUGACAAGGUAGGAGUAGAAUACAGAAGAUAGCCCUAUUUGGUAAAAGACCAAGUCCAUAUUAUCUUAAGAACAGCUCAAAUAAGCAAAGAGAAACGACAGUCGAUCAUUACUUUAACUGCACCUCAUAUUGCAGCCCAAAAAUAAAUGCUUCACAGAGUUCAAGUAACAGACACAUCUCAACAUCAUUUGUUCAGAAGAGACUGUGUGAAUCACCAAUAAGAAGAGAUUUUUCUUGGACCAAGAAACACAAGAAAUGGACAUAGACCAGUGGAAAUCUGUCCUUUGGUCUGAUUAGUCCAAAUUUGAGAUUUUUGGUUCCCACCGCCGUGUCUUUGUGAGACACAGAGGAUCUCCGCAUGUGUGGUUUCCAACAUGAAGCAUGGAGGAGGAGGUGUGGGGGUGCUUUGCUAGUGACAUUGUCAUGAUUUAUUUAGAAUUCAAGGCACACUUAACCAUCAUGGCUACCACAGCAUUCUCCAGCGAUAGGCCAUCCCAUCUGGUUUGUGCUUAGUGGGACUAUCAUUUGUAUUUCAACAGGACAGUGACCCAAACACACCUCCAGGCUGCGUAAGGGCUAUUUGACCAAGAAGGAGAGUAAUGGAGUGCUGCAUCAGAUGACCUGGCCUCCAUAAUCAUCUGACCUCAACCCAAUUGAGAUGGUUUGGGAUGUGUUGGACCACAGAGUAAAGUAAAAGUAGCCAACAAGUGCUCAGCAUGUGUGGGAACUCCUUCAAGACUGUUGGAAAAGCAUUCCUCAUGAAGCUGGUUGAGAGAAUGCCAAGAGUGUGCAAAGCUGUCAUCAAGGUAAAGGGUGACUAACUUUGAAGAAUCUCAAAUAUUAAAUAUAAUUUGAUUAGUUUUUUGGUUACUACAUGAUUCCAUAUGUGUUACUUCAUAGUUUUGAUCUUCACUAUUAUUCUGCAAUGUAGAAAAUAGUACAAAUAAAGAAAAACCCAUGAAUGAGUAGGUGUGUACAAACUUUUGACUGGUACUCUAUAUAUAUUUUUGAUCUAUCUAUUUAUAGAUAUAUUUCUUUGAGGGGGUGGGGACCCCCGCGCCCCUGACAGUUUGGGAACCACUGCCCUAGCUAAGCUCACUUUGCCCUCACUGCCAACAUUAAGCUUUUAUCCACAAUUCUAGGUCCUUUCCCAAGAUCAACAUUUGAAAUGUGUUAAUUACCCCACCGGCAUAGAGAACAUGGCCUUAGUGACCCAGUAACAUAUAUGAAUUUCAUAAUGGGUCACUGUAAGGCCAUGUCUUUGCGAUUUGUUGAACGAUUACAUUUAACAGCCAAUGCUGUGGUGUGGACUGUAGAUAUGUCUGCCUACUGUUUCUGAUUGACAGAGGGCUUUGCAUAGGCGCUUUGUUGCAUUUUUUUUAUGUGGGACAAAAAAAAUAUUCCUGCAAUGUUUAUUUUCCAGAACGGUUGGAUCACUUUUGUUCCAGGUUCUGUUUCUGUUCCUUUAACAAAUAAAUACAAAUUCUAUUGGAAACAAGUAGAGGGUGUUACAUUUACAGUAUGUGAUGCAAGGUGCAACCUAAACGUGUAAACAUCAUUGGAAAGGAAAAGGCUCAACGCUCGCUUUACCAUUACAAAUUCUUAGUUUUAUUAAGUUAGUUUAUUUUCCUGUUUUCCUGGUCUUGCAUUAAUAAUGCAGUAUUUUGGUCUGUGUUAUUGUGUAAGGCCCCACUGUUAUAAAAUGAUAACCGAUUCGUCAUAUCAUUCCAAACAGUUUUUUUUCUCCCAUUAUUUUCUGAUUAAUCAAAGUACUUAGAAUAUGUUCUAAGUCUUCAACCAUUCCUCAUCUUCUACCAUUGCUCAUUCUUGCAUCAUAUCAUCCUCUUACUGACCAUUACAAGGUCAGCCACUUCAUUUUUCAGAUGCACUUAAUUCCUCCAUCACUGUUAUCUUUUGUGUCUCCUCUACUGCCCACCAUUCCACUAUCUCGCUCUCCAAUGUCCAGUAUUGACCAUUCACACAAAGACGACAUGCUUUGUGGGUGCUGCCCGAGAACCUAUAGGUACUGUUGCACAGAUACUAACAUCUGCACUGCAAGUAUUUAAGUCUCUAUAUACCUGUCCUUACUUUCCUAUCUGUUCUUAUAUUUUCCCACUUUUGACACAUGUUCAGCUGAGUAGAUGAAGCACAUGACUAGCUGACUCUUUUUAAUCCCCCUCAGCUAUUGAGAAUCAGUCAAAUGUAACAUUAAAUUAUCCACAUAGCAUAUAGACAUUCACUUCUCUUUGAAGUAAAAAACUGAAUCUUUUCUGCACAUUUACCUGAACAGCUUCCUAGAAAAUACAGAUGUACGUCUUAGUUUUUUGUGACAGAGCAUUGAUUUGUUGUUUCUCUUAUGCAGUUUUUUUCCCCGCUUGUUGGCUUUUUGCUUAGUCAUCCCUUUGACAACGUUUGUUGAAAAGCAAGAAAACAACAUGCCUUUUACGUUGGUAUCUAACAAGCAUUUCCUUUGAAAUGAUUCCCACAUACAGUACAGUGGGAGACAUGAUGGUUAACCCUGUCUGCAUGACCUGAUUACUUUUUGCAUAGAGAUGACAACCCUUCUUUUUCUUUUUGAGGCUUAUCACUGUGCUUCCCAUGCAUGCUUGCUUGUUGCUUCUGCUGCUUGCCUGACCGAAUGUUCGACUAUGUGCACACGGAAAAGGCUCCUUCCGCUGUAGGACAUUGCCUCAUUUUAAGUUACCGUAAGAGCCGGAAGCCUAGCCUAAAGGACAAGGUGCAUCCUAGUCCUUCCAAGAUGGCUGGGGCCACAGGGAGGUCCCAGUCCCCUGGGCCUGAA